Molecule: non-coding RNA, 186 nt
Organism: Agrilus planipennis (emerald ash borer)
Lineage: Eukaryota; Metazoa; Arthropoda; Insecta; Coleoptera; Buprestidae
Source: Rfam
AAGUACUCCCAUCCCCAUUUUUAUAUCUCCCUCUCCCCAAUAUAGCCAAAAUCUUUCCUUUUGGGGUAACAGCUUUAUGGUUGAAAUCCCAUCUCGAGGAGGAGUUUUAGUCGGUAGGCGCCACGGCUAAUCCGAACUACCCCCCUUCAGGGGGUGUCUUUUGAAGAUUUCCCCUCCUCGAGGCUA